Molecule: ribosomal RNA, 359 nt
Filed under: uncultured microorganism
Description: bacterial SSU rRNA
Rfam family: Bacterial small subunit ribosomal RNA
Source: RNAcentral
GCGUCAGCAGGCGAGAAUUUUGGGCAAUGGCCGAAAGGCUGACCCAGCGACGCUGCGUGUGGGAUGAAGCCCUUCGGGGCGUAAACCACUUUUCAGAAGGACGAGGGUUCAUCCGGCGAAUACCCGGACGGAUUGACGGUACUUCUGGAAUAAGCUCUGGCUAACCCCGUGCCAGCAGCCGCGGUAAGACGGGGAGAGCAAGCGUUGCCCGGAAUCAUUGGGCUUAAAGGGGGCGUAGGCGGUUAGGUGUGUCAGACGUGUAAACUAUCGGCUCAACCGAUAGCCUGCGUUUGAAACUACCUAGCUCGAGGGCGAAAGAGGAGAGCGGAACGUCCCGGUGUAGCGGUGAAAUGCGUAGA